RNAcentral lists this ribosomal RNA (443 nucleotides) under uncultured bacterium. Its description in RNAcentral is "bacterial SSU rRNA". It matches the Rfam family "Bacterial small subunit ribosomal RNA", at positions 355 to 790 of the family's 1533-position model. The record is from RNAcentral.
UGGGGAAUCUUGGACAAUGGGGGCAACCCUGAUCCAGCCAUGCCGCGUGUGUGAAGAAGGCCUUCGGGUUGUAAAGCACUUUCAGUAGGGAGGAAGGCUUACCGCUAAUAACGGUGAGUACUUGACGUUACCUACAGAAGAAGCACCGGCUAAUUUCGUGCCAGCAGCCGCGGUAAUACGAAAGGUGCGAGCGUUAAUCGGAAUUACUGGGCGUAAAGCGCGCGUAGGCGGUUUGUUAAGUCAGAUGUGAAAGCCCCGGGCUCAACCUGGGAAUUGCAUUUGAAACUGGCAGGCUAGAGUGCAGUAGAGGGAGGUGGAAUUUCCGGUGUAGCGGUGAAAUGCGUAGAGAUCGGAAGGAACACCAGUGGCGAAGGCGGCCUCCUGGACUGACACUGACGCUGAGGUGCGAAAGCGUGGGGAGCAAACAGGAUUAGAUACCCCGG